AUUAUUCUGAAAUAUUCGUUAAGCUUCUAUUUUGAACCUACAUAUAAGUUUCGGGAGUUCAAAAUUUAGAUGAAUAAAUGUACUUUCAUGUGAGUCCUUUUAUGGCUUUAAGAGCGAUUGAAACAUCUGUGAGAACACCCACCUAUCGAGGGAUAGGUGUCAAAAUUGGGGUACCGGUAUUUUGGAUAUGGU
RNAcentral lists this non-coding RNA (192 nucleotides) under Clostridium sp. RNAcentral describes it as "6S RNA". It matches the Rfam family "6S / SsrS RNA". From Rfam's summary of the family: E. coli 6S RNA was the first non coding RNA to be sequenced, but its function was unknown until recently. Lineage: Bacteria; Bacillati; Bacillota; Clostridia; Eubacteriales; Clostridiaceae. The record is from RNAcentral.